AUCUGCAGCCAUACCACUCUGAAUACUCCCAAUCUUGUCUGAUCUCAGAAACUAAUCAGAGUCAGGCCUGGUUAGUACUUUGAUUGAAAAUGUUUUCCAUCUGUUGACCCUGAGAAUGUGGAACCUGCAGAGA
Molecule: ribosomal RNA, 133 nt
Filed under: Octodon degus (degu)
Lineage: Eukaryota; Metazoa; Chordata; Mammalia; Rodentia; Octodontidae
Source: RNAcentral